AGUGAACGCUGGCGGUAGGCCUAACACAUGCAAGUCGAACGGCAGCACAGUAAGAGCUUGCUCUUACGGGUGGCGAGUGGCGGACGGGUGAGGAAUACAUCGGAAUCUACUUUUUCGUGGGGGAUAACGUAGGGAAACUUACGCUAAUAUCGCAUACGACCUACGGGUGAAAGCAGGGGAUCUUCGGACCUUGCGCGAUUGAAUGAGCCGAUGUCGGAUUAGCUAGUUGGCGGGGUAAAGGCCCACCAAGGCGACGAUCCGUAGCUGGUCUGAGAGGAUGAUCAGCCACACUGGAACUGAGACACGGUCCAGACUCCUACGGGAGGCAGCAGUGGGGAAUAUUGGACAAUGGGCGCAAGCCUGAUCCAGCCAUACCGCGUGGGUGAAGAAGGCCUUCGGGUUGUAAAGCCCUUUUGUUGGGCAAGAAAAGCAGCAGGUUAAUACCCCGCUGUUCUGACGGUACCCAAAGAAUAAGCACCGGCUAACUUCGUG
RNAcentral lists this ribosomal RNA (492 nucleotides) under uncultured bacterium. Its description in RNAcentral is "partial 16S ribosomal RNA". It matches the Rfam family "Bacterial small subunit ribosomal RNA", at positions 29 to 507 of the family's 1533-position model. The record is from RNAcentral.